Molecule: transfer RNA, 95 nt
Filed under: Amycolatopsis sp. YIM 10
Lineage: Bacteria; Bacillati; Actinomycetota; Actinomycetes; Pseudonocardiales; Pseudonocardiaceae
Description: tRNA-Arg
Source: RNAcentral
GGGCCCGUAGCCGGGCUGCUGCGGGUACGGCUGCUGCGGAUAGCCGCCCGACGGCGGGCCGUAGGACUGCGGCUGGUUCUGGCCGUAGGGAUCCU